Molecule: non-coding RNA, 55 nt
Organism: Myotis lucifugus (little brown bat)
Lineage: Eukaryota; Metazoa; Chordata; Mammalia; Chiroptera; Vespertilionidae
Source: Rfam
UUUUUAGUGUAAGUAUAUCCCAUGCAAUAUUUAGGACAUACUUAUAAUACUAAAA